This 73-nucleotide transfer RNA is filed under the name Microrhizoidea pickettheapsiorum. RNAcentral's name for it is "tRNA-His". It matches the Rfam family "tRNA". Rfam says of the family: Transfer RNA (tRNA) molecules are approximately 80 nucleotides in length. Their secondary structure includes four short double-helical elements and three loops (D, anti-codon, and T loops). Lineage: Eukaryota; Viridiplantae; Chlorophyta; Mamiellophyceae; Dolichomastigales. The record is from RNAcentral.
GCGGGCGUAGCCAAGUGGUAAGGCACUGUAUUGUGGCUUCAGUAUUCGCGGGUUCGAGUCCCGUCGUUCGCCC